Molecule: ribosomal RNA, 253 nt
Filed under: uncultured bacterium
Lineage: Bacteria
Description: partial 16S ribosomal RNA
Rfam family: Bacterial small subunit ribosomal RNA
Source: RNAcentral
UACGAAGGGUGCAAACGUUGCUCGGAAUUAUUGGGCGUAAAGCGCACGUAGGCGGCUUGGCAGGUCGGAUGUGAAAUCCCUCGGCUCAACCAAGGAAGUGCAUCCGAAACUGCUGAGCUUGAGUACUUAAGAGGAUCGCGGAAUUCCCGGUGUAGAGGUGAAAUUCGUAGAUAUCGGGAGGAACACCAGUGGCGAAGGCGGCGAUCUGGGAAGAUACUGACGCUGAGACGCGAAAGCGUGGGGAGCGAACAGG